This is a non-coding RNA of Phrynosoma platyrhinos (Desert horned lizard), 71 nucleotides long. The record is from the annotation of a GenBank genome assembly. Lineage: Eukaryota; Metazoa; Chordata; Lepidosauria; Squamata; Phrynosomatidae.
GUCAGCAUGGUGUAGUGGUUUGAGCAUUGGACUAUGACUCUACAGACUAGGGUUCAAAUCCCACUCAGCCA